This 238-nucleotide small RNA is filed under the name Rattus norvegicus (Norway rat). RNAcentral's name for it is "uncharacterized LOC102552358". The record is from RNAcentral. Lineage: Eukaryota; Metazoa; Chordata; Mammalia; Rodentia; Muridae.
UGUUUUUGUGGCUCCACAGCCCCCGGCACUUACACAGAAGUGGCCCUGCCAAUCUGCUACAAGUUACGCCUGGGUAACUGGAGGCAUGGAUCCACAUAACCUGUUGCAUUCACACAACAGAACACAAUUGAGACGUAGGAAGACGGAUGAGGAAGAGUGAUGUGUGUCAGCACGGAGAGGCCCUGAAAACAUGGUCGAGCCUCCGAAAAAAGAAGAGAGAUCAGGGAUCAAACAAGAG